AUAACGGUCCUAAGGUAGCGAAAUUCCUUGUCGGGUAAGUUCCGACCCGCACGAAAGGCGUAAUGAUUUGAGCACUGUCUCGACAAUGCAUCCGGUGAAAUUGAAGUACCAGUGAAGAUGCUGGUUACCUGCGCCAGGACGGAAAGACCCCAUGGAGCUUUACUCCAGUUUGAUACUGGGAUUCGGUACUGCAUGUACAGGAUAGGUGGGAGACGAAGAAGGAUGGACGCCAGUCUGUCCGGAGUCGCUGUUGGGAUACCACCCCUGUAGUACUGGGUUUCUAACCAGUUGCCAUGAACUGGCAAUGGGACAAUGUCAGGCGGGGAGUUUGACUGGGGCGGUCGCCUCCGAAAGGGUAUCGGAGGCGCUCAAAGGUUCCCUCAGAAUGGUUGGAAACCAUUCGAAGAGUGCAAAGGCAGAAGGGAGCUUGACUGCGACACCGACGGGUGGAGCAGGUACGAAAGUAGGACUUAGUGAUCCGGUGGUAUAAAGUGGGAUUGCCAUCGCUCAACGGAUAAAAGCUACCCUGGGGAUAACAGGCUUAUCACUCCCAAGAGUUCACAUCGACGGAGUGGUUUGGCACCUCGAUGUCGGCUCAUCGCAUCCUGGGGCUGUAGCAGGUCCCAAGGGUUGGGCUGUUCGCCCAUUAAAGCGGUACGCGAGCUGGGUUCAGAACGUCGUGAGACAGUUCGGUCCCUAUCCGGCGUGGGCGUAGGAUAUUUGAGAGGAGCUGUCCUUAGUACGAGAGGACCGGGAUGGACGGACCGCUGGUGUAUCUGUUGUUGACCAACAGCAUGGCAGAGUAGCCAAGUCCGGCAGGGAUAAACGCUGAAGGCAUCUAAGCGUGAAGCCCCCCUCAAGAUUAGAUAUCCCAUUCUUUAAAGAAAUAAGACCCCUUGAAGACUACGAGGUUGAUAGGUCUGAGGUGUAAGUGCGGUAACGCAUUCAGCUGACAGAUACUAAUAGGUCGAAGACUUAUCCUG
This 983-nucleotide ribosomal RNA is filed under the name human gut metagenome. Its description in RNAcentral is "bacterial LSU rRNA". It matches the Rfam family "Bacterial large subunit ribosomal RNA", at positions 1942 to 2925 of the family's 2925-position model. The record is from RNAcentral.